GCCUGGGUGGCUCAGUCGGUUGAGCAUCUGACUUCAGCUCAGGUCAUGAUCUCACGGUCUGUGAGUUUGAGCCCCGCGUCAGGCU
This 85-nucleotide transfer RNA is filed under the name Felis catus (domestic cat). It matches the Rfam family "tRNA". Rfam says of the family: Transfer RNA (tRNA) molecules are approximately 80 nucleotides in length. The record is from Rfam by way of RNAcentral. Lineage: Eukaryota; Metazoa; Chordata; Mammalia; Carnivora; Felidae.